CCUACGGGAGGCUGCAGUGAGGAAUAUUGGUCAAUGGGCGAGAGCCUGAACCAGCCAAGUCGCGUGAAGGAUGAAGGCCCUACGGGUUGUAAACCUCUUUUGUCAGGGAGCAAAGGAGGCCACGUGUGGGCUUAGCGAGAGAACCUGAAGAAAAAGCAGCGGCAAACUCCGUGCCAGCAGCCGCGGUAAUACGGAGGAUGCGAGCGUGAGCGGGAUUGAUGGGGUUGAAAGGGGGCGUAGGUGGAAUCUCAAGUCAGCGGUACAACUUCGGGGCUCAACCCCGUCGUGCCGUUGAAACUGUUGUUCUUGAGUGGGCGAGAAGUAUGCGGAAUGCGUGUUGUAGCGGU
This 347-nucleotide ribosomal RNA is filed under the name uncultured bacterium. RNAcentral describes it as "partial 16S ribosomal RNA". It matches the Rfam family "Bacterial small subunit ribosomal RNA", at positions 338 to 682 of the family's 1533-position model. The record is from RNAcentral.